NNNNNNNNNNNNNNNNGACCCCCAGGGGCUCAGUCGCCCUUCCCAGCGCGCCGCCUCUGCGCUCCCCUCGGGCUCCGUGCUGCCCUCCGUCCGGGAACGCAGGUCCUUCAGUGGCGCCUAAUGAGGCGUGAUGUGGUCUCUAUGGAGCUCCCGAGGAGGGGAAUCGGUGCCAUCCGGCGACGAAAAGCGUGCCCAAAGCCGUCGGAGGAGUGAAGGAGGAGCUUUUAAAACUUGCUCAAGAGUCCUAAAGAUACGGUGCUGUGCAUGCGUGGGGAAGCGGCUCGGCCCGCUCUCUGGAGCCCCACCAGAGUUCACGGUAGUCUUCACGAAAUCGCCUUCUUGUGUCCUCAUCGCUCAUCCUUCAACCAGAACGCAACAAAUAAAGUGCGGUGUUGUCUUUGAAUCGUGUCUACACUUUCUCCUGUGUGUGCUAGAAUGUUGCUCGGCGGUUUUUACUUGCUGAACGUGCUGGUUUUAUCUCCUCAUCUCUGCCGGGCUGCUAACAACGUGUUUCAAACUACGAAACUCUGUAGUUUCUCACCAACUUCUCUGAUUUGCCUCCUGGCCCUGAUUGGCGCCCGUCCCGCGGCGUGCGGAUCCUGCAGCGCCUCCGGCUCCCCCUUCCAUGGAGCCGAUUGUUCCCUGGUGCGCCGAGCUGGGCACACCCGCGCUCGGCUGGAUGCUAGGUGUCGGUGCAGUAUAGAGUGCUACCCCCGAAAUUGUGGUGUAUCUACUAUAGUUCUUGUAGUACUGAGCUGUUCCUGGAACUCCUCGUUCCUUCGGGACUCGAGUUCCCUCGUUUUCCAUGCGAACGCAGCUCGGGAUAACCAAACUUUGCUGGGAGCUGGCAGGAGUCCGGAGCGCUACGCUCCCCGCGCUCGGGGCCAGAGGGCUCUGCCAUCGAUCCUCUGUGUCAGGGGUGCUCCCUUGCCGCCGGGAAGGAGGGAGAGCUGCUGCCUUGUUUCUCCUGGGGGUACUGAGGGUGUUGGUUUGGGGUGUUUUCAAGCAGCGUCGCUUCCCAAGCGCUGUCGUGUCUCACGUGCCGUGACUGGAGCUCCUGCUAACGGGGAGCAGGCGCUCCUUCGCUCUUGCUCCGAGUUAAAUCGGACUCUGGCAAAAGCAGUUUAUGGAGGGGUAACUCUUGGGCUCCCCAAUCGCUGCACGUCUCGCUGCAGGCGGGAGAUGCCGGCAAGUCCCGUUUACACCGGGAUGAGAGAUCGCACUCCCCGAGCAGCACCGAACCCGAGAGCGUCUGCAAGGGUGGUUUGGCUGAGCGAGGGAAGACGUGGGGUGGC
This 1295-nucleotide long non-coding RNA is filed under the name Zonotrichia albicollis (white-throated sparrow). RNAcentral describes it as "lncRNA (ENSZALG00000007806.1)". The record is from RNAcentral. Lineage: Eukaryota; Metazoa; Chordata; Aves; Passeriformes; Passerellidae.